Molecule: long non-coding RNA, 1104 nt
Organism: Cavia porcellus (domestic guinea pig)
Lineage: Eukaryota; Metazoa; Chordata; Mammalia; Rodentia; Caviidae
Exons: 3
Source: RefSeq, a predicted model, not a curated record
UGUUAAUUAGUUUGACCUAAUCGUUCCACAGUGUAUUUCAAAACACGCACAUGAUAUACAAUUUUGACCAAAAAAAAGUUAGGGUCGGCGAUAUAGUUCAGUGCCACAGUACCUGCCUGUCAAGCGCAAGGUCCUGAGUUCGAUUCCCGGUACCAAAAAUAAAUAAAUGUUAAACAAAAAUUUUAAUGCUACUGAUGGGGAGGAGAGUGUGAAAACCCAAAUUAAAAAGUGUCUGACACCGCAGGCGCAGUUCAGCGGUAGAGCGAAUGCCUAGCAGGCAGGAAACCUUGGCGGGGGGAGGUGGACCGAACACUUGUUCUGCUCAAAACAAAGUUCUCAGCGUCAUCAGCGAUAGGAAAAAGCGCGUUAAAACCUAGUGAGAUACCACUUCCUCUCCGUUACGAAGGCUAAGAAAGUCACAAAAGUAGGCAGCGCCUUGCGCGACACAGAGGCAGGGCGCCAGUGGCCGUUCCGAAGCUGCCAGUAGUAUGCAGUGCGCACGCGCGGCAGAAACCUCUGUCAGCGUCCCGUUAAACACACGCGCAAAGGGCCGCAAAGGCCACAGGUAGCCCUGGCCCCCAUCUCUAAGGCUGAUGGGGUCGGGGUGGGGUCACCUGCUAUUUCCGUCUAAGGGUGGGCCUUGCAGUCAGAGGGUCGGUCUCCGGCCUCAUUCCUCACCCCGCCAGGGUCUGCUCGUCUGGACAGAGAAAUGGCUGGAGCAGUGGCAGGGCGCGACGUACACCAGACCGGGGCUGUCCCUCUUGAGCCGCCGUAGUCAAGACCACGCCCUCUCCCGCUUCUGGCACAUGGUGCCAUCUGGCCAAUCACAGAACGUCAGGCUGCGUCUUCGGGAUUGGGGUGGACAUGGGCACUCUAGAGGAGCUGACUUCUGGAGGCAGAGAAGCCCAAGACAGGGAGCCCCCACCUGAUGAGGGCCACCUGUGUCACCCGAAGGCUGGAGGCAGAUGGACAAGAGCAGAUGAGACACCACAGUUUUUUGGCACCUUGCUCCAUUCCGCAAACCCACCAUCCUGACGAUGAAAUCCACAGAAGAUGCUGAUUUCCCCGUCCUUUGUUCUCCACCUCUGAUGAAAACUCCGGGAA